This is a long non-coding RNA of Cavia porcellus (domestic guinea pig), 1461 nucleotides long. RefSeq lists it as uncharacterized. The transcript has 3 exons. The record is from RefSeq and is a predicted model, not a curated record. Lineage: Eukaryota; Metazoa; Chordata; Mammalia; Rodentia; Caviidae.
CUCUGUCGUUUAUCUGCUUUCUCAGUCUGAAAAAGAAAAACGUAGACUUUUUUCAACUUCUGUGUGACGUUUUCACAAUUUUGAUAAUGUUUUAUAGGAUGGCAUUCUGAUACUUUGUUUAUCCUUAUUUUUUUUUCUCUAAAUUUAGCAUUUUCCUCUUGAAAAAAGUUACAUUCCUACUGGGAUUCUACAACCCCACCGCAGUAUCUCAACCAAAUAACCACAAUUUAGCAAAACACAGCGGACUACAGGGAACUACAAAUAAAAGACGAGCAUCACAGAGACUUCUGGUGCUGAGCAGGAGAAGCUCACUGAAUCCUUUUUAUUGUCAUCCUGCUCUGCUCCCUGCAUAGCCAGUAUCUGAUGAAACACUUUUUCAGUGGAAUGGUAUGUGCUAAAGGAAGACAUGAAAUAAAACCAAAGGAGCUACCACAUGGCAGGAACAAGUCAACCUACUUCCUUACUAGAACACAGAUGGUACUAGUUUCCUGGGCAAACAGGCAACAAAUCUCAGAGGAUGGAAGCUCAAAGUCAAGGACAACGAAUAUUUAGUUCAGUACACUUUAAACUUAUGCAGGACAUUCCAUAAAACCUCACAAAGUCAACUUGCACCUAUGCAAAAGUUGAGGCUUUUAGGGACGGAACAAAAAGGGCACCCAACAUUUCAAGGGAUUUGAAUUCUAGUGUAUGAGGCUAACUUAUGCCUUUUAGUUUUUUUCCUAGUUGGUAAAACAAUUCAACAUGAGAGACAUAGAGAAUUCACUGAAAGGGAAGGUGGUCUCUGGCUCCAAGUAUGUACUACAGGCUCUCCAGUGCUUAGCAUGUGGGGUUGAAAAGAAUCCAACUGCUCCCUGGUAUGAGAUUUCAGUCUCACAAAAAUAGCAUUAACUUCCAGCUAAACUAUUAAUUACUACGUUAAUUAAUACCAGAUGAGUUAUUGGAAGUUCAUUUUCCUUAUUCAUUCAUUUAUACUAGCUACGGUAUAAACUAACUAAAAUGAAUAAACAAGGAUCAUUCUUGCCAAUAUUUCCAGUCAGCUUUCUAAACUAAAGCCAGCUUCAACUGGUCUGGAUGAAACCCAGCAUUUAUGAUUUACUUAAACCCCAAGAGCUUCAUAUGACUGAUUUUUAUGAUGUGGCAUACUAUAAACCAAGUUUUAGUAAGCUGCUCCACACACUGAGACCAAUAAGCUUCAGGUGAAAACAUUAUGCUUCCUCAGAAACCUACUGAGACUUUUAAAUGGAAAAACUCCAAAGUACACAAUCUUUUUCAUCUGGACACUAACUUUACACGGCAUGCUUUUCAUUUGAAAUAGACUACUUAUUUCCACAAUGACUUAAUUAGCAAUGUCAUUGAGGACAAGUUACUAUGACUGUUUCCAGAGCAGAACACACUCAGUGCCCUCCCUACGUGCCGAGGAACGCAGCACUUGUGAAAAGGACACCUUCUGAACGGUACCUG